This 95-nucleotide signal recognition particle RNA is filed under the name Alphaproteobacteria bacterium. RNAcentral describes it as "signal recognition particle sRNA small type". It matches the Rfam family "Bacterial small signal recognition particle RNA". Rfam says of the family: The signal recognition particle (SRP) is a universally conserved ribonucleoprotein involved in the co-translational targeting of proteins to membranes. Archaeal SRP consists of a 7S RNA and homologues of the eukaryotic SRP19 and SRP54 proteins. The record is from RNAcentral. RNAcentral also lists the same sequence under 2 other names. Lineage: Bacteria; Pseudomonadati; Pseudomonadota; Alphaproteobacteria.
AGGAAGGCUGGGUGGACGGUCACCUUGUUUAACCGGUCAGGUCCGAGAGGAAGCAGCCAAAGCAUGUUUCGAUCGGGUCAUUCAGUCUUCCGCUU